Molecule: ribosomal RNA, 453 nt
Filed under: uncultured Pseudomonas sp.
Lineage: Bacteria; Pseudomonadati; Pseudomonadota; Gammaproteobacteria; Pseudomonadales; Pseudomonadaceae
Description: bacterial SSU rRNA
Rfam family: Bacterial small subunit ribosomal RNA
Source: RNAcentral
CGGUGGAGCAUGUGGUUUAAUUCGAAGCAACGCGAAGAACCUACCUAGGCCUUGACAUGCAGAGAACUUUCCAGAGAUGGAUUGGUGCCUUCGGGAACUCUGACACAGGUGCUGCAUGGCUGUCGUCAGCUCGUGUCGUGAGAUGUUGGGUUAAGUCCCGUAACGAGCGCAACCCUUGUCCUUAGUUACCAGCACGUUAUGGUGGGCACUCUAAGGAGACUGCCGGUGACAAACCGGAGGAAGGUGGGGAUGACGUCAAGUCAUUAUGGCCCUUACGGCCUGGGCUACACACGUGCUACAAUGGUCGGUACAAAGGGUUGCCAAGCCGCGAGGUGGAGCUAAUCCCAUAAAACCGAUCGUAGUCCGGAUCGCAGUCUGCAACUCGACUGCGUGAAGUCGGAAUCGCUAGUAAUCGUGAAUCAGAAUGUCACGGUGAAUACGUUCCCGGGCCUU